RNAcentral lists this ribosomal RNA (2905 nucleotides) under Klebsiella aerogenes. Its description in RNAcentral is "23S ribosomal RNA". It matches the Rfam family "Bacterial large subunit ribosomal RNA". The record is from RNAcentral. Lineage: Bacteria; Pseudomonadati; Pseudomonadota; Gammaproteobacteria; Enterobacterales; Enterobacteriaceae.
GGUUAAGCGACUAAGCGUACACGGUGGAUGCCCUGGCAGUCAGAGGCGAUGAAGGACGUGCUAAUCUGCGAAAAGCGUCGGUAAGGUGAUAUGAACCGUUACAGCCGGCGAUGUCCGAAUGGGGAAACCCAGUGCAAUUCGUUGCACUAUCGUUAACUGAAUACAUAGGUUAACGAGGCGAACCGGGGGAACUGAAACAUCUAAGUACCCCGAGGAAAAGAAAUCAACCGAGAUUCCCCCAGUAGCGGCGAGCGAACGGGGAGCAGCCCAGAGUCUGAAUCAGCUUGUGUGUUAGUGGAACGGUCUGGAAAGUCCGACGGUACAGGGUGAUAGUCCCGUACACCAAAAUGCACAGGCUGUGAACUCGAAGAGUAGGGCGGGACACGUGGUAUCCUGUCUGAAUAUGGGGGGACCAUCCUCCAAGGCUAAAUACUCCUGACUGACCGAUAGUGAACCAGUACCGUGAGGGAAAGGCGAAAAGAACCCCGGCGAGGGGAGUGAAAAAGAACCUGAAACCGUGUACGUACAAGCAGUGGGAGCACCUUCGGGUGUGACUGCGUACCUUUUGUAUAAUGGGUCAGCGACUUAUAUUCUGUAGCAAGGUUAACCGUAUAGGGGAGCCGCAGGGAAACCGAGUCUUAACUGGGCGUUAAGUUGCAGGGUAUAGACCCGAAACCCGGUGAUCUAGCCAUGGGCAGGUUGAAGGUUGGGUAACACUAACUGGAGGACCGAACCGACUAAUGUUGAAAAAUUAGCGGAUGACUUGUGGCUGGGGGUGAAAGGCCAAUCAAACCGGGAGAUAGCUGGUUCUCCCCGAAAGCUAUUUAGGUAGCGCCUCGUGAAUUCAUCUUCGGGGGUAGAGCACUGUUUCGGCUAGGGGGUCAUCCCGACUUACCAACCCGAUGCAAACUACGAAUACCGAAGAAUGUUAUCACGGGAGACACACGGCGGGUGCUAACGUCCGUCGUGAAGAGGGAAACAACCCAGACCGCCAGCUAAGGUCCCAAAGUCACAGUUAAGUGGGAAACGAUGUGGGAAGGCACAGACAGCCAGGAUGUUGGCUUAGAAGCAGCCAUCAUUUAAAGAAAGCGUAAUAGCUCACUGGUCGAGUCGGCCUGCGCGGAAGAUGUAACGGGGCUAAACUGUGCACCGAAGCUGCGGCAGCGACACUAUGUGUUGUUGGGUAGGGGAGCGUUCUGUAAGCCUGCGAAGGUGGCCUGUGAGGGUUGCUGGAGGUAUCAGAAGUGCGAAUGCUGACAUAAGUAACGAUAAUGCGGGUGAAAAGCCCGCACGCCGGAAGACCAAGGGUUCCUGUCCAACGUUAAUCGGGGCAGGGUGAGUCGACCCCUAAGGCGAGGCCGAAAGGCGUAGUCGAUGGGAAACAGGUUAAUAUUCCUGUACUUGGUGUUACUGCGAAGGGGGGACGGAGAAGGCUAUGUUAGCCGGGCGACGGUUGUCCCGGUUUAAGCAUGUAGGCGGAGGUUCCAGGUAAAUCCGGUACCUUUUUAACGCUGAGGUGUGAUGACGAGGCACUACGGUGCUGAAGUAACAAAUGCCCUGCUUCCAGGAAAAGCCUCUAAGCAUCAGGUAACAUUAAAUCGUACCCCAAACCGACACAGGUGGUCAGGUAGAGAAUACCAAGGCGCUUGAGAGAACUCGGGUGAAGGAACUAGGCAAAAUGGUGCCGUAACUUCGGGAGAAGGCACGCUGAUAUGUAGGUGAAGCCCCUGCGGGUGGAGCUGAAAUCAGUCGAAGAUACCAGCUGGCUGCAACUGUUUAUUAAAAACACAGCACUGUGCAAACACGAAAGUGGACGUAUACGGUGUGACGCCUGCCCGGUGCCGGAAGGUUAAUUGAUGGGGUUAUCCGUAAGGAGAAGCUCUUGAUCGAAGCCCCGGUAAACGGCGGCCGUAACUAUAACGGUCCUAAGGUAGCGAAAUUCCUUGUCGGGUAAGUUCCGACCUGCACGAAUGGCGUAAUGAUGGCCAGGCUGUCUCCACCCGAGACUCAGUGAAAUUGAACUCGCUGUGAAGAUGCAGUGUACCCGCGGCAAGACGGAAAGACCCCGUGAACCUUUACUAUAGCUUGACACUGAACAUUGAGCCUUGAUGUGUAGGAUAGGUGGGAGGCUUUGAAGCGUGGACGCCAGUCUGCGUGGAGCCAACCUUGAAAUACCACCCUUUAAUGUUUGAUGUUCUAACGUUGGCCCCUUAUCGGGGUUGCGGACAGUGUCUGGUGGGUAGUUUGACUGGGGCGGUCUCCUCCCAAAGAGUAACGGAGGAGCACGAAGGUUAGCUAAUCCUGGUCGGACAUCAGGAGGUUAGUGCAAUGGCAUAAGCUAGCUUGACUGCGAGCGUGACGGCGCGAGCAGGUGCGAAAGCAGGUCAUAGUGAUCCGGUGGUUCUGAAUGGAAGGGCCAUCGCUCAACGGAUAAAAGGUACUCCGGGGAUAACAGGCUGAUACCGCCCAAGAGUUCAUAUCGACGGCGGUGUUUGGCACCUCGAUGUCGGCUCAUCACAUCCUGGGGCUGAAGUAGGUCCCAAGGGUAUGGCUGUUCGCCAUUUAAAGUGGUACGCGAGCUGGGUUUAGAACGUCGUGAGACAGUUCGGUCCCUAUCUGCCGUGGGCGCUGGAGAAUUGAGGGGGGCUGCUCCUAGUACGAGAGGACCGGAGUGGACGCAUCACUGGUGUUCGGGUUGUCAUGCCAAUGGCAUUGCCCGGUAGCUAAAUGCGGAAGAGAUAAGUGCUGAAAGCAUCUAAGCACGAAACUUGCCCCGAGAUGAGUUCUCCCUGACUCCUUGAGAGUCCUGAAGGAACGUUAAAGACGAUGACGUUGAUAGGUCGGGUGUGUAAGCGUAGCGAUACGUUGAGCUAACCGAUACUAAUGAACCGUGAGGCUUAACCUU